RNAcentral lists this ribosomal RNA (465 nucleotides) under Vreelandella stevensii. RNAcentral's name for it is "partial 16S ribosomal RNA". It matches the Rfam family "Bacterial small subunit ribosomal RNA", at positions 338 to 795 of the family's 1533-position model. Lineage: Bacteria; Pseudomonadati; Pseudomonadota; Gammaproteobacteria; Oceanospirillales; Halomonadaceae. The record is from RNAcentral.
CCUACGGCGGGCUGCAGUGGGGAAUAUUGGACAAUGGGCGAAAGCCUGAUCCAGCCAUGCCGCGUGUGUGAAGAAGGCCUUCGGGUUGUAAAGCACUUUCAGUGGGGAAGAAAGCCUUGGGGCUAAUACCCUCGAGGAAGGACAUCACCCACAGAAGAAGCACCGGCUAACUCCGUGCCAGCAGCCGCGGUAAUACGGAGGGUGCGAGCGUUAAUCGGAAUUACUGGGCGUAAAGCGCGCGUAGGCGGUCUGAUAAGCCGGUUGUGAAAGCCCCGGGCUCAACCUGGGAACGGCAUCCGGAACUGUCAGGCUAGAGUGCAGGAGAGGAAGGUAGAAUUCCCGGUGUAGCGGUGAAAUGCGUAGAGAUCGGGAGGAAUACCAGUGGCGAAGGCGGUCUUCUGGACUGACACUGACGCUGAGGUGCGAAAGCGUGGGUAGCAAACAGGAUUAGAUACCCGAGUAGUC